GAACUACUCCCUCCGUUCCAUAUUAGUUGUCGCCUCAAACGGAUGUAUCUAGCACUGAAAUACAUCUAGAUACAUCCAUUUCAGAGACAACUAAUAUGGAACGGAGGGAGUACUAC
Molecule: non-coding RNA, 116 nt
Organism: Triticum aestivum (bread wheat)
Lineage: Eukaryota; Viridiplantae; Streptophyta; Magnoliopsida; Poales; Poaceae
Source: Rfam